RNAcentral lists this ribosomal RNA (432 nucleotides) under uncultured bacterium. RNAcentral describes it as "partial 16S ribosomal RNA". It matches the Rfam family "Bacterial small subunit ribosomal RNA", at positions 29 to 507 of the family's 1533-position model. The record is from RNAcentral.
AACGAACGCUGGCGGCAUGCCUAACACAUGCAAGUCGAACGAGACCUUCGGGUCUAGUGGCGCACGGGUGCGUAACGCGUGGGAACCUGCCCUUAGGUUCGGAAUAACUCCCCGAAAGGGGUGCUAAUACCGGAUAAUGUCUUCGGACCAAAGAUUUAUCGCCUUUGGAUGGGCCCGCGUUGGAUUAGCUAGUUGGUAGGGUAAAAGCCUACCAAGGCGACGAUCCAUAGCUGGUCUGAGAGGAUGAUCAGCCACACUGGGACUGAGACACGGCCCAGACCCCUCCGGAGGGGAGAAGGGGGGAAAAAGGGAAAGGGGGCGAAUGCUUAAGCCAGUAGGGCCGGGAAAGUGUGGAAGGCUUUAGGUUUAUAAAGCUCUUUUACCGGGGAUAUUAAGACGGGACCUGGGAAAAAAAGCCCGGGUAACUUCGUG